GACGAACGCUGGCGGCGUGCCUAAUACAUGCAAGUAGAACGCUGAAGAGAGGAGCUUGCUCUUCUUGGAUGAGUUGCGAACGGGUGAGUAACGCGUAGGUAACCUGCCUUGUAGCGGGGGAUAACUAUUGGAAACGAUAGCUAAUACCGCAUAACAAUGGAUGACACAUGUCAUUUAUUUGAAAGGGGCAAUUGCUCCACUACAAGAUGGACCUGCGUUGUAUUAGCUAGUAGGUGAGGUAACGGCUCACCUAGGCGACGAUACAUAGCCGACCUGAGAGGGUGAUCGGCCACACUGGGACUGAGACACGGCCCAGACUCCUACGGGAGGCAGCAGUAGGGAAUCUUCGGCAAUGGGGGCAACCCUGACCGAGCAACGCCGCGUGAGUGAAGAAGGUUUUCGGAUCGUAAAGCUCUGUUGUAAGCCAAGAACGAGUGUGAGAGUGGAAAGUUCACACUGUGACGGUAGCUUACUAGAAAGGGACGGCUAACUACGUGCCAGCAGCCGCGGUAAUACGUAGGUCCCGAGCGUUGUCCGGAUUUAUUGGGCGUAAAGCGAGCGCAGGCGGUUUGAUAAGUCUGAAGUUAAAGGCUGUGGCUCAACCAUAGUUCGCUUUGGAAACUGUCAAACUUGAGUGCAGAAGGGGAGAGUGGAAUUCCAUGUGUAGCGGUGAAAUGCGUAGAUAUAUGGAGGAACACCGGUGGCGAAAGCGGCUCUCUGGUCUGUAACUGACGCUGAGGCUCGAAAGCGUGGGGAGCGAACAGGAUUAGAUACCCUGGUAGUCCACGCCGUAAACGAUGAGUGCUAGGUGUUGGAUCCUUUCCGGGAUUCAGUGCUGCAGCUAACGCAUUAAGCACUCCGCCUGGGGAGUACGACCGCAAGGUUGAAACUCAAAGGAAUUGACGGGGGCCCGCACAAGCGGUGGAGCAUGUGGUUUAAUUCGAAGCAACGCGAAGAACCUUACCAGGUCUUGACAUCCCGAUGCUAUUUCUAGAGAUAGAAAGUUACUUCGGUACAUCGGUGACAGGUGGUGCAUGGUUGUCGUCAGCUCGUGUCGUGAGAUGUUGGGUUAAGUCCCGCAACGAGCGCAACCCCUAUUGUUAGUUGCCAUCAUUCAGUUGGGCACUCUAGCGAGACUGCCGGUAAUAAACCGGAGGAAGGUGGGGAUGACGUCAAAUCAUCAUGCCCCUUAUGACCUGGGCUACACACGUGCUACAAUGGUUGGUACAACGAGUUGCGAGUCGGUGACGGCAAGCUAAUCUCUUAAAGCCAAUCUCAGUUCGGAUUGUAGGCUGCAACUCGCCUACAUGAAGUCGGAAUCGCUAGUAAUCGCGGAUCAGCACGCCGCGGUGAAUACGUUCCCGGGCCU
Molecule: ribosomal RNA, 1369 nt
Filed under: uncultured bacterium
Lineage: Bacteria
Description: bacterial SSU rRNA
Rfam family: Bacterial small subunit ribosomal RNA
Source: RNAcentral